Molecule: long non-coding RNA, 1198 nt
Filed under: Monodelphis domestica (gray short-tailed opossum)
Lineage: Eukaryota; Metazoa; Chordata; Mammalia; Didelphimorphia; Didelphidae
Description: lncRNA (ENSMODG00000038574.1)
Source: RNAcentral
UGAAAAUACAGCUGGCUGGCCUUGGGAGUUUGUCAGAAGCAUAAAUAUGUCAAACAACAGGCCAGGAAGACCCCAACAAUAUAAAAUUGUCAAAGUUCCAAGAAUAGUAAGAAGCAGAUAAGAGCCAUACAUGCAGGCAAAAUUCCAAGGAUAAGGGGCUGGAAAACCGGGCUUACAGAAAAGUAUUUAAAGCCCAGCCUGUCAGAAGCAACUCGGAACUCUGAUGGUAGAAGUUCCCACUGAUGCGCGUAUCAGUUUUCACAAUAAAGGGCCUUAUCCGUGUCUGAUUACAUUGCCCGAGAUCUUUCCUUGGUGGUGGGUGAAUUCCCGGACCUUAACACCACAUGGUUAUGUUCCUACCUGCUGAGCCCAGCAUGGAUACUAUAAACUGAACCAAUGAGAAGGAAAAGGGAUUUGCCCUUCCCUUGUUCUUCCUCUAUGCCCAACUUCAAGAAAUGGGUCUACAGGUUGUCAGUUGUGUUGGAACUACUCACAACUCUUCCUUGAGGGGCAGGAGAAUGGAACACACCUCACCAGGUCUGAAAGAGUGCAGAGAUGCUGGUUUCUUGGUGGUUGUGGAGGAGAAGGGUUGGGAUUCUUCAUUGGAGAGGAUGAUAAUUGACAGGAAGAAGGAGGCUCAGUCUAGCCCAAAGAGGGUGACCUGAGGCAAAUUGUUUAACCAGUAAAGUGCUGCUGAGGUGAAACAUCAAGAGCUUAUUUAAUAGCCCUAUAAAAAGUUUUGUUUUAUUAGGUUUAAACUUUAACUUCCUGAAGGAGUAGAAGUUAUCGCUGCUUGUUUUUGAUGUCAGUUUGAGCUUGUUUAGCAUUUGUUGCUCUCCUAUACCUGAUCUACAUUGUACAUUGGAUACUUUGCUGCUUCCUUCUUUUGGGGAGAUAUAAACCAAAGGAAAACUUUAAGUGCUUUCUUCCAGGGCCCCAAGGGGUAGGGUAUAAAGAACCAAAGAAACAAGCCAAAAGAGCCUGGCACCCUUCUUUUAGGUGACUGAAGGACGGAACCCAAGACAAGCCUUUGUGGGUCUAGAACUGAGAGGAGCUCCUCAUUGAGCUAGGGAGAGGGACAGUGCUCGGUUUUUAUUCUUAUAUACAGAAAGGGGACUGAUAAUGAGAUUUUAAACUAACGAUAAAAACUUGAUCAUGCACCAUGACCUUUUGAUGAUCUUCAGGUGAAUGAGAUGCG